Long non-coding RNA from Lytechinus variegatus (green sea urchin), 93 nucleotides. RefSeq lists it as uncharacterized. NCBI's taxonomy places the organism in Eukaryota, Metazoa, Echinodermata, Echinoidea, Temnopleuroida, Toxopneustidae. The transcript is spliced from 3 exons. The record is from RefSeq and is a predicted model, not a curated record.
AUUUAGAAAGCAAAGAUGCCAACCUCUUGACACAAAAAAUCAGACUGAAUAUCCUCAAAAAUCAUAUUUUUUAGUGAAAAAUCAGAUUUUCAC